RNAcentral lists this ribosomal RNA (406 nucleotides) under uncultured bacterium. RNAcentral describes it as "partial 16S ribosomal RNA". It matches the Rfam family "Bacterial small subunit ribosomal RNA", at positions 30 to 526 of the family's 1533-position model. The record is from RNAcentral.
AUCGAACGCUGGCGGCAGGCCUAACACAUGCAAGUCGAACGAGUGGCGGACGGGUGUGUAAUGUCUGGGAAACUGCCUGAUGGAGGGGGAAAAAUACUGGAAACGGUAGCUAAUACCGCAUACCAUCGGAUGUGCCCAGGCGGGAUUAGCGAGUAGGUGGGGUAACGGCUCACCUAGGCGACGAUCCCUAGCUGGUCUGAGAGGAUGACCAGCCACACUGGAACUGAGACACGGCCCAUACUCCUACGGGAGGCAGCAGUGGGGAAUAUUGCACAAUGGGCGCAAGCCUGAUGCAGCAAUGCCGCGUGAGUGAAGAAGGCCUUCGGGUUGUAAAGUACUUUCAGCGGGGAGGCGUUACCCGCAGAAAAAGCACCGGCUAACUCCGUGCCAGCAGCCGCGGUAAUUC